RNAcentral lists this long non-coding RNA (1170 nucleotides) under Lepisosteus oculatus (spotted gar). Its description in RNAcentral is "lncRNA (ENSLOCG00000023286.1)". Lineage: Eukaryota; Metazoa; Chordata; Actinopteri; Semionotiformes; Lepisosteidae. The record is from RNAcentral.
CUAGAGUUAAUCGUGGGUAGGAGGAAUGCCUCCCUGAGGAGAACAGAAAACAUAAUCUCCAUAUGCAUCCCUCAUUAGAGAAGAACUGACCAUGGAUCAAGGAAGUUCAGAUGAGAAUCUUCAGAGGGAAUCCUUAAAGAAAUGACCUCCCCAUCUGAUGAGAGGUCUGACUUCCAUGGCAGAUGUGGUCUGGGGCAUGCACGGGAGAGCCUGUGAGAAGGAAUUGUGUAUCCUGCGUGGAAUAUGGCCACAUGGCACAAGCCCCUCCUGAUGAGGAGGGCAGAAACAAGAUGGAGGCUGGAACAAGAGCUGCAGUACAGGUGUGAGGACCUGAAGUGGGCAAGGCCUGAGGUCCUAAUGAGCCCUGAAGAGAAGAAAAGGGAUAAGAACACCCACUUGGCAUUUGUCUUAGGGAGAGGCUGAGAAAUGAACAGGAUAAAUGGGUGAGAACUGACGCACUCAGCUUUAGAAGAAAAAGCUCCAUUAACUUCUGCCACCCCCAUCCUAGCAUGUUCCAUUUCCCACAGUGUAACAGCCCUAAAAGGGAAAUUUGUCUAAACUGCCCUUUUAGCAAAAGAGGAGAAAAAAAGUGAUUACACUUCUAAAACUCCUGCCUCAUAUUUAGGAAUACCUCAAAGAUUCAGUGUUUAUUUUUUACUCUUACCCUAGUUAAGCAUGAAACUAAAUGAUUUGAGGACACCAUUCAACAUGAAACUUUGAGGUAAGGCAUACUUGACCAAUAAUGGAAUUUUAGCGUUGUUGAUGCAUUCUCUUUGGUAAGAGGAGUUUGCUUUGUCUUUUUGGACUAACUUUGAUUCAAUAAAGUAUAUAUACCUUCAUUCUUUGGAGGAAUUCUAAACCCUAACCUGUCCCAAUGCUUAGCUAGAGUUAGAUUUUUGAUAGUAUGGCUGUGUUUUGGGAUGGAAAUGAAAUGUAGGAAAACUGAUAUCUCCAUGUUAACAUUUUUUCACAUUUCUUUCCAAUAUGGUUAUACACACAACUCAGGAUCUUUGGGGUAUUCCUGACUCAUACCAUAGGUAAGCAUGAAACCAUGCUCAUCAAGAUAACCAUUCUCAUCCAUCCUUCGGAUGAGACGUAAAACCGAGGUCCUGACUCUCUGUGGUCAUUAAAAAUCCCUGGGCGUUUCUCGAAAAGAGUAAGGGUGUACCC